RNAcentral lists this ribosomal RNA (569 nucleotides) under Rhodanobacter sp. V3M40. RNAcentral's name for it is "bacterial SSU rRNA". It matches the Rfam family "Bacterial small subunit ribosomal RNA", at positions 64 to 622 of the family's 1533-position model. The record is from RNAcentral. Lineage: Bacteria; Pseudomonadati; Pseudomonadota; Gammaproteobacteria; Lysobacterales; Rhodanobacteraceae.
GAACGGCAGCACAGAGGAGCUUGCUCCUUGGGUGGCGAGUGGCGGACGGGUGAGUAAUGCAUCGGGACCUACCCAGACGUGGGGGAUAACGUAGGGAAACUUACGCUAAUACCGCAUACGUCCUACGGGAGAAAGCAGGGGACCUUCGGGCCUUGCGCGGUUGGACGGACCGAUGUGCGAUUAGCUAGUUGGUAGGGUAAUGGCCUACCAAGGCGACGAUCGCUAGCUGGUCUGAGAGGAUGAUCAGCCACACUGGGACUGAGACACGGCCCAGACUCCUACGGGAGGCAGCAGUGGGGAAUAUUGGACAAUGGGCGCAAGCCUGAUCCAGCAAUGCCGCGUGUGUGAAGAAGGCCUUCGGGUUGUAAAGCACUUUUAUCAGGAACGAAAUACCACGGGUUAAUACCCUAUGGGGCUGACGGUACCUGAGGAAUAAGCACCGGCUAACUUCGUGCCAGCAGCCGCGGUAAUACGAAGGGUGCAAGCGUUAAUCGGAAUUACUGGGCGUAAAGGGUGCGUAGGCGGUUCGUUAAGUCUGUCGUGAAAUCCCCGGGCUCAACCUGGGAAUG